AUACGGAGGAGGCAAGCGUUGUUCGGAAUUACUGGGCGUAAAGGGCGCGUAGGCGGAUUGUCAAGUCAGAGGUGAAAGCCCUGGGCUCAACCUGGGAACUGCCUUUGAAACUAACAGUCUAGAGGCCGAGAGAGGAUGGCGGAAUUCCCAGUGUAGAGGUGAAAUUCGUAGAUAUUGGGAAGAACACCAGUGGCGAAGGCGGCCAUCUGGCUCGGUACUGACGCUGAGGCGCGAAAGCGUGGGGAGCAAACAGGAGUAGAUACCCCAGUAGUCC
This 274-nucleotide ribosomal RNA is filed under the name uncultured bacterium. RNAcentral describes it as "partial 16S ribosomal RNA". It matches the Rfam family "Bacterial small subunit ribosomal RNA", at positions 523 to 796 of the family's 1533-position model. The record is from RNAcentral.